UAAAGAAAAACCCGGCCCCAGGCCGGGACCGUCCGUCCAUGAGGUCAGGGUGGCGGCCGGCCGGAGGCACGAGGCCGGUGGCUACGCAGGGGCAGCCGCACGUUGAGGUUCGGGUUCGGCGUGGCUGGCUGGAGAGCGGCAGGAGGAGGGGGUGCGCUUCAGAGGAGGGGAGCGAGGCCCCCCGGUAGUUCACUCACGUCGCCGUUGCGGUGACUGGUGCAGGCGCUCGAGACGAUACUGUUCGCGCAUGUAACUAGCUCCCAUCGGUGCGGUGGCGGUUGCGGUUGAGGCAGCUGAUGGUCACGAGUGGCACGGAGUCCCCGUCCUUCUCCUAAGUCUCCUCCCUCCGCUCGACCCGGUAUUCCCGUUCAAAGGUGUGUGGUGUACAAGCUACUUUACGGGUUGUUCCUCGGCUGGGUAGUUACAACUUUUCAGCGGCAGAUUUCCCAAUAGGCUCUUCUAUAUCAUAGCACUUAGACCAGCUACACGAGAUUAUGUGGAAAUCUAAAAUGGGGGAAGACAUGUCAUUAUAUACGGUAAAAACACAUCAGAGUAUUCAAGGAAUGUAUAUCCUCAACACAUGAAUAGACGAAUCCAAUAGACAGUAGAAUUGUACCUGUCCUAUCUUUACCUCACGAUAAUAACGAGGUACGAGGACCGGCAUCAAUUUACCUCGACUGCUAGGACAUCGUAGAUUGGUAAGUAAAGUAAAGACACCGUCGUCGGAUAAUCAGGUGUACGAAAGGGAUGUCCAUAAUUCCUAUUAAACUGUAAGACAUGUUGGUAUAUUAGAGCUGGGUCAACGAGUGGUCCGAGUAUAUUAGACAUAUAACGGAAUCAAAGGAUGGUUCAAGUACUAUCUAAGACUAAGAACGAGGUUCUGAAUACAACUUCACAGAAGUAAAUUGUCUAUCGACGGUACUUCCGACGUUUACUUCUCGACUUUCCCUACUACUUCUGACAGUCCUAACUUCUGUACCUACAUACGUCGUAGGACAACAAAUGAUGAGGGAGGCAGGCCUUUUCGAACAGGGAGUAUACCUACAUAGAUCGUGAUUGAACCACGAUCUAUGUAGGUAAACUCUCUGUUCGAAAAAGCCUUCCUCCCUCAUCUAACAAAAGUUCUAUAUACCUGCACUUGUUACAUUCUGCUCUACUACCUAGAAUACCUACACUCGUUACAGGGUCUACUGUAGAUACUCCUCCUCGGUGAAGAUAAACUUAAAGUAUUCGAACUACGAAACUUUCGACUAUACCUGAAGCUUAGUUUGAGUGAGGGUGGCAUGGAGGUUGGUCUGUUCCUCUGGCUAGAAAUAAGACUCGAAUUGAUUGGACGACGUGGUUCACUAGUACGUCGUCAGGGCCGUUUGGCCGUCGUCCUCCUACUUGACCCUGACGGACGUUACGGCGUACGUAGUUAACCAUGGACUUUUCAUUGUUUUUACUGAUGCAAUAUCCAAACUAGAGCAACAUUUAUCAGCUGCGAAACAAAUACGUGCCUGUUUAAGUAACGUAGCGAGGAGUAUAUGGUGACGUUAAGCAACUUGCUACUCUACAGAAAAGGGG
RNAcentral lists this ribosomal RNA (1566 nucleotides) under Triticum aestivum (bread wheat). RNAcentral's name for it is "partial small subunit ribosomal RNA". Lineage: Eukaryota; Viridiplantae; Streptophyta; Magnoliopsida; Poales; Poaceae. The record is from RNAcentral.